Molecule: transfer RNA, 89 nt
Filed under: Candidatus Shapirobacteria bacterium CG_4_10_14_0_2_um_filter_40_12
Lineage: Bacteria; Candidatus Shapironibacteriota
Also listed under: 1 other name
Description: tRNA-Ser
Rfam family: tRNA
About the family: Transfer RNA (tRNA) molecules are approximately 80 nucleotides in length. Their secondary structure includes four short double-helical elements and three loops (D, anti-codon, and T loops). Further hydrogen bonds mediate the characteristic L-shaped molecular structure. tRNAs have two regions of fundamental functional importance: the anti-codon, which is responsible for specific mRNA codon recognition, and the 3' end, to which the tRNAs corresponding amino acid is attached (by aminoacyl-tRNA synthetases). tRNAs cope with the degeneracy of the genetic code in two manners: having more than one tRNA (with a specific anti-codon) for a particular amino acid; and 'wobble' base-pairing, i.e. permitting non-standard base-pairing at the 3rd anti-codon position.
Source: RNAcentral
GGUGGGGUGGCAGAGUGGUCAAAUGCGACGGUUUCGAAAACCGUUUCCGGUUUACCGGAGCGCGAGUUCGAGUCUCGCCCCCACCGCCA